Long non-coding RNA from Armigeres subalbatus, 859 nucleotides. RefSeq lists it as uncharacterized. The record is from RefSeq and is a predicted model, not a curated record. The transcript is spliced from 3 exons. NCBI's taxonomy places the organism in Eukaryota, Metazoa, Arthropoda, Insecta, Diptera, Culicidae.
GAAAUGGGUGGUCGAAUAUUUGCCCACAUUGACGCGUAGGACAAAAUGGUUCCAGCCCAUCAAACCCAUCCAAAAGGGUGAUCUAGCGUUGAUUGUAGAUGCGAAACUUCCGAGGAAUUGUUGGCCACGAGGACGAGUGAUCGAAGCGAUCCAAGCCGAAGACGGACAGGUCCGUCGUGUAACCGUGCAAACAGGAACUGGACUGAUGGAAAGGCCAGCGGUCAAGGUUGCUGUAUUAGACGUCGGUGCAACAGGAGGUAAGCCAGCUGAACAACAGUGACGUACCGAGGGGGAGUGUCACAACCCUGCGAGAUGCGACGCACCUUUGCGUUCAACAUCACCCUUGUCUAUGAGUUUAGCUCCGACCCUGGCUCGUUAACUGUCAACCACCCACCGGUCGACGGGUGACAGGCAGCUAAUCGUAAGUAGCAAAAAAAGAGCACAGUUGAGUCAGCAGAAAGUUAAAGUGCAUUAGCAUAGCUUAGUACUCAUAAGGGCAGUGUCACGGUUGAUUAUAUUAUUACUUAUACUUAAACAACAUGCAAAAAGAAGUAAUUAUAUACUCACUACGAAAAUAGUACGGAUCGUUGCGAACUAGUACGGGCAAAUUAUCACUAGAAAGAAACUAAACGUAAGUAGUUAGCAUGCUUUUGUUAUUAACGAAUAUCUAUGAUGUAUCCAUGCCCGAGAAAAACCUAAAAACAAACAAUUAUACACUAUAGCAUGUGAAAACGAUAAAACUAAUUCGACAUAUGUAUUCUCUCCCCAAAGGGAUUUUAUAACUCCUUCUCUACUUCAGAAUAAAUACAAGAGUUACGAAACCGGAAACAAUACUUUCUAUUUGUCCGAUUGCUAGCGC